CCUACGGGGGGCAGCAGUGGGGAAUAUUGCACAAUGGGGGCAACCCUGAUGCAGCAACGCCGCGUGAGUGAAGAAGUCAUUCGUGAUGUAAAGCUCUAUCAGCAGGGAAGAAAAUGACGGUACCUGACUAAAAAGCCCCGGCUAACUAAGUGCCAGCAGCCGCGGUAAUACGUAGGGGGCAACCGUUAUCCGGAUUUACUGGGUGUAAAGGGGGCGUAGACGGCGACGCAAGUCAGAAGUGAAAUGCCAGGGCUCAACACUGGAACUGCUUUGGAAACUGUGUGGCUAGAGUGCAGGAGAGGCAAGUGGAAUUCCUAGUGUAGCGGUGAAAUGCGUAGAUAUUAGGAGGAACACCAGUGGCGAAGGCGGCUUACUGGACUUUAACUGACGUUGAGGCUCGAAGGCGUGGGGAGCAAACAGGAUUAGAUACCCCUGUAGUC
This 440-nucleotide ribosomal RNA is filed under the name uncultured bacterium. RNAcentral describes it as "partial 16S ribosomal RNA". It matches the Rfam family "Bacterial small subunit ribosomal RNA", at positions 338 to 795 of the family's 1533-position model. The record is from RNAcentral.